Molecule: long non-coding RNA, 1638 nt
Organism: Cotesia glomerata
Lineage: Eukaryota; Metazoa; Arthropoda; Insecta; Hymenoptera; Braconidae
Exons: 2
Source: RefSeq, a predicted model, not a curated record
AUUUCGGGACUAGAGAUGAAAAUAAAAUGUUUAAAAAAUUGAAAGUUAUGCUGUUGAUCGUUAUAUAGUAGCGUUAUACCUUGAUGACAAUUUAUCAUGAGGAUGAUGCAGACUCGCGUGUGUGAGUCUUGUCUUUCUUUAUUUUAUCCGACGUCAUUAUUUUAGAAUAAUCUGAAACCGAUGGUGAUUAGUUGACGUUAAAGCGUCACCUGUGCCCUAAACACCCACGUAGACCACGUAGACCACGGAGCCCACGGAGGCCACGGAGGCCAUUCAAGCUAUUUAGAACAUUUAUACCAAGAGAUGGAUAGAGCAAUGGAGAGUGACCCCGAAAAUCUGUCACUCAGUCACGAAGUUGUAUUUUUUAUUUUUUUUUUUUAUUUAGUGAAUUGAGAUCGACGAUCGAUCAUCUGUUGUGCCCCAACCCACUAAACUCUCAAAUUGACACUCUAUACGUCAAUUCAUUUUCAAUUUGCCCGUAAUAUAAUUUGUUAUUCCGAUAUUAUUAUUUUUAUGUAUAUAUGUAUACAUAUUUAACGAUUUAACGGGCUUACUGUGACCGCACACGUCGAUUCACCGAUCAACCGAUCAACCCAUCAACCCAUCAACCCAUUACAAUAAAUAUAUAUAAAUAAGCUUAAAAAAUCAAAGGCUAAACAAAAAAUAAAUCUCUCUUGUUAAAGAAUCCAUUGAAAAUUUUUGGAGACGUUUUAAACUAAGACAACUUAAGUCUCUUUUCUUUCUUUUUGGUCUUGUUUUUUUUUCUAGAGUUUAUCCGUGUCAAAAUAAAUCUUUCGACAUCCAGUACCGUAAGAGAUCACGGUUAUUGUUUGUCUUUUCAUGUGCAUACACUAGACUCUAUAUACUGUGUAAAGUUUGUCUCUCAUCCUUCGGGUUAUACUUAAUAAGGAAAGAGUGAGAAAGAUAUAUAAUAUAAAAGGUGAUUUGUUUAGUUUUGCCAACUAAAUACUUUACGUGGAGGAGUAUUGAGUGAGGACCAAUACAUAGUUUUUUUUAUUCUUAUUUUAUUUAAAAACAUCCACAAAUAACUUUCGGAGGAGUUUCUGAGAGAAAAAAAAAAAAAGAAAAAAAGAAAAAAAGAAAAAAAAAGUCUGGCGGUAUGGUAAAUGUGAAUACUAAUGUAUAAUCGAAUAUCGAAAUAAUCGAAAAUGGCAACAGACCAACAGAGGCCAACUAUAAACAACCAUCACUGAUCGCGGGAACUUUGUGUGUAGUAGAGACAAACCCUGGUGAACAGAUAUAUACUAUAUACUAUUUCAUUGAGCGCGGCAAAACCGAUGAGAUCGGAGAGUCGGAGAGUCUGAGAGUUGAGAAAUUCCCGAUACAAGGAAUUUGGGAGUUUGUCUUUUAUGUCGUUGAAUUUGGAUUCAAAGUCGGAGUCAGAGUCCGACUCGCAGUACCGGCAAGAUACUAACGCACUGGUAUCGCGUAUCACGUGUAUAUAUCGUUUCGACAAAAAGGUCCACUAGCAGUGUGCAUAAAAAAAAUAAAAAAAAAGGAAUGUGAGUCGCCAACCGAUCGAGGAUCCAGCUGCUGAUGGUUAAAUAACUUAAGCAAUAAGCAACAUCUAAACGAUCACCGGAUGUGUUAAAGUUAAUAUAAUAAUAUUAAUAACAA